Polyporus arcularius HHB13444 is the source of this 101-nucleotide non-coding RNA. NCBI's taxonomy places the organism in Eukaryota, Fungi, Basidiomycota, Agaricomycetes, Polyporales, Polyporaceae. The record is from the annotation of a GenBank genome assembly.
GCCAUCGUGGCGCAAUGGUAGCGCAUCACCUUCCUACGUUGGUCUUGGACCUUACUGUGGAGGUGAGGUGGGGGUUGCGGGUUCGAUCCCCGUCGGUGGUA